This 318-nucleotide long non-coding RNA is filed under the name Zonotrichia albicollis (white-throated sparrow). Its description in RNAcentral is "lncRNA (ENSZALG00000010075.1)". Lineage: Eukaryota; Metazoa; Chordata; Aves; Passeriformes; Passerellidae. The record is from RNAcentral.
GUGGAAGACUGCAUGGAAGCAGCAUGGAGAGAUUUUCCCAGUGACAAAAACUGAAGCUGAAUUUAACUGAAGCCAGCUACAGCUGCAAUACAAAGUGCCAGAACCAAGAAGAGGCCUCAGGUUUCUGCAAAACUUGGAAGUUUUUUACUGCUGUAGCUGAAGUCUAGGAAUAACAAAGCUUGCAGCAACACUGUUGGAGGGAGCCCUCUGCAUAGUGUUAAGACAAAGAUUUUUUAAGUUUGGAAAACACUGGAGAAAAGCACCAGUCUAAGCAAAAGCAGAAUUGCCCUCAGCAUGGCUUGUGACACCCCAACAUAG